RNAcentral lists this ribosomal RNA (497 nucleotides) under uncultured bacterium. RNAcentral's name for it is "partial 16S ribosomal RNA". It matches the Rfam family "Bacterial small subunit ribosomal RNA", at positions 28 to 507 of the family's 1533-position model. The record is from RNAcentral.
GAUGAACGCUGGCGGCGUGCCUAAUACAUGCAAGUCGAGCGAACAGACGAGGAGCUUGCUCCUCUGACGUUAGCGGCGGACGGGUGAGUAACACGUGGAUAACCUACCUAUAAGACUGGGAUAACUUCGGGAAACCGGAGCUAAUACCGGAUAAUAUAUUGAACCGCAUGGUUCAAUAGUGAAAGACGGUUUUGCUGUCACUUAUAGAUGGAUCCGCGCCGCAUUAGCUAGUUGGUAAGGUAACGGCUUACCAAGGCGACGAUGCGUAGCCGACCUGAGAGGGUGAUCGGCCACACUGGAACUGAGACACGGUCCAGACUCCUACGGGAGGCAGUAGUAGGGAAUCUUCCGCAAUGGGCGAAAGCCUGACGGAGCAACGCCGCGUGAGUGAUGAAGGUCUUCGGAUCGUAAAACUCUGUUACUAGGGAAGAACAAAUGUGUAAGUAACUAUGCACGUCUUGACGGUACCUAAUCAGAAAGCCACGGCUAACUACGUG